CCCACUCGUUAGGGGUGUCGCCAGCCGGUUUCGGUGUUUCGGUCGACUGAGAAAUACCCUUCGAACCUGACCGGGUCAUGCCGUCGUAGGGAAACGAACUCUGCCGUUG
This 109-nucleotide non-coding RNA is filed under the name Azonexus hydrophilus. RNAcentral's name for it is "TPP sequence". It matches the Rfam family "TPP riboswitch aptamer (THI element)". From Rfam's summary of the family: Vitamin B(1) in its active form thiamin pyrophosphate (TPP) is an essential coenzyme that is synthesised by coupling of pyrimidine and thiazole moieties in bacteria. The previously detected thiamin-regulatory element, thi box was extended, resulting in a new, highly conserved RNA secondary structure, the THI element, which is widely distributed in eubacteria and also occurs in some archaea. The record is from Rfam by way of RNAcentral. Lineage: Bacteria; Pseudomonadati; Pseudomonadota; Betaproteobacteria; Rhodocyclales; Azonexaceae.